RNAcentral lists this ribosomal RNA (454 nucleotides) under uncultured Thiomonas sp. RNAcentral's name for it is "bacterial SSU rRNA". It matches the Rfam family "Bacterial small subunit ribosomal RNA", at positions 77 to 527 of the family's 1533-position model. The record is from RNAcentral. Lineage: Bacteria; Pseudomonadati; Pseudomonadota; Betaproteobacteria; Burkholderiales.
GGGUAACCUGGCGGCGAGUGGCGAACGGGUGAGUAAUACAUCGGAACGUGCCCUGUGAUGGGGGAUAACUACGCGAAAGCGUAGCUAAUACCGCAUACGACCUACGGGUGAAAGUGGGGGAUCGCAAGACCUCACGUCAUAGGAGCGGCCGAUGGCGGAUUAGCUAGUUGGUGAGGUAAAGGCUUACCAAGGCAACGAUCCGUAGCUGGUCUGAGAGGACGACCAGCCACACUGGGACUGAGACACGGCCCAGACUCCUACGGGAGGCAGCAGUGGGGAAUCUUGGACAAUGGGGGCAACCCUGAUCCAGCAAUGCCGCGUGUGGGAUGAAGGCCUUCGGGUUGUAAACCACUUUUGGCGGGGGCGAAAUAUCGAGUGCUAAUACCAUUCGGUGAUGACGGUACCCGCAGAAUAAGCACCGGCUAACUACGUGCCAGCAGCCCGGGGUAAUACA